UUCGGGGAACGUUAACGGCGUCGAGCGGCGGACGGGUGAGUAAUGCCUGGGAAAUUGCCCUGAUGUGGGGGAUAACCAUUGGAAACGAUGGCUAAUACCGCAUAAUAGCUUCGGCUCAAAGAGGGGGACCUUCGGGCCUCUCGCGUCAGGAUAUGCCCAGGUGGGAUUAGCUAGUUGGUGAGGUAAGGGCUCACCAAGGCGACGAUCCCUAGCUGGUCUGAGAGGAUGAUCAGCCACACUGGAACUGAGACACGGUCCAGACUCCUACGGGAGGCAGCAGUGGGGAAUAUUGCACAAUGGGCGCAAGCCUGAUGCAGCCAUGCCGCGUGUAUGAAGAAGGCCUUCGGGUUGUAAAGUACUUUCAGCAGUGAGGAAGGUUCAUGCGUUAAUAGCGUAUGGAUUUGACGUUAGCUGCAGAAGAAGCACCGGCUAACUCCGUGCCAGCAGCCGCGGUAAUACGGAGGGUGCGAGCGUUAAUCGGAAUUACUGGGCGUAAAGC
This 499-nucleotide ribosomal RNA is filed under the name Vibrio sp. Its description in RNAcentral is "bacterial SSU rRNA". It matches the Rfam family "Bacterial small subunit ribosomal RNA", at positions 73 to 566 of the family's 1533-position model. The record is from RNAcentral. Lineage: Bacteria; Pseudomonadati; Pseudomonadota; Gammaproteobacteria; Vibrionales; Vibrionaceae.